This 120-nucleotide ribosomal RNA is filed under the name uncultured bacterium. RNAcentral's name for it is "partial 16S ribosomal RNA". It matches the Rfam family "Bacterial small subunit ribosomal RNA", at positions 796 to 917 of the family's 1533-position model. The record is from RNAcentral.
CACGCCCUAAACGAUGUAUACUCGUUGUUUGCAUCUUGAAUGUGAGCAACCAAGCGAAAGCGUUAAGUAUACCACCUGGGGAGUACGCCCGCAAGGGUGAAACUCAAAGGAAUUGACGGG